Molecule: long non-coding RNA, 2480 nt
Filed under: Citrus x clementina
Lineage: Eukaryota; Viridiplantae; Streptophyta; Magnoliopsida; Sapindales; Rutaceae
Description: Citrus clementina (C. clementina) long non-coding RNA (CCLE_LNC005882)
Source: RNAcentral
UGGGGGGUGGGGCUAGCCAACUUCAUCCGCCGGACUCGGACUCGGAAUGCCGUGAGGCUUUGUGAGGGGCCUCCGUGUAUAAACAAUAGGCCGCGGGCAAAGCCGCGCCCAAAAAUAACCGCCCGAAGGCUGGGGCGCACAGUUCGUCCAGCGGAAAAAGGCCACAAAAAAACGGGUGGGCUAUAGGCUUGGGGGGUGGGGCUGGCCAACUUCGUCCGCCUGACUCGGAAUGCCGCGAGACUUUGCGAGGGUCCUCUGUGUGCCAAAAAUAGGCCGCGGGCAAAGCCGCGCCCAAAAAUAACCGCCCGAAGGCCGGGGCGCCAAGUUUGUCCAGUGGAAAAAGGCCACAAAAACGGGUGGACUAUAGCCUUGGGGGGUGGGGCUGGCCAACUUCAUCCGCCGGACUCGGACUCGGAAUGCCGUGAGACUUUGCGAGGGGCCUCCGUGUACCAAAAAUAGGCCGCGGGCAAAGCCGCGCCCAAAAAUAACCGCCCGAAGGCUGGGGCGCACAGUUCGUCCAGCGGAGAAAGGCCACAAAAAAAUGGGUGGGCUAUAGCCUUGGGGGGUGGGGCUGGCCAACUUCGUCCGCCGGACUCGGAUUGCCGCGAGACUUUGCGAGGGGCCUCCGUGUGCCAAAAAUAGGCCACGGGCAAAGCCGCGCCCAAAAAUAACCGCCUGAAGGCCGGGGCGCCAAGUUCGUCCAGCGGAAAAAGGCCACAAAAACGGGUGGGCUAUAGCCUUGGGGGUUGGGGCUGGCCAACUUCGUCCGCCGGACUCGGAAUGCCGCGAGACUUUGUGAAGGGCCUCCGUGUAACAAAAAUAGGCCGCUGGCAAAGCCGCGCCCAAAAAUAACCACCCAAAGGCCGGGGCGCCAAUUUCGUCCAGCGGAAAAAGGCCACAAAAACGGGUGGGCUAUAGCCUUUUGGGGGUGGGGCUGGCCAACUUCGUCCGCCGGACUCAAACUCGUAAUGCCGCGAGACUUUGCGAGGGGCCUCCGUGUGCCAAAAAUAGGCCGCGGGCAAAGCCGCGCCCAAAACUAAACGCCCGAAGGCCGGGGCGCCAUGUUCGUCCGGCAGAAAAAGGCCACAAAAACGGGUGGGCUAUAGCCUUGGGAGGUGGGGCUGGCCAACUUCGUCCGCCGGACUCGGAAUGCCGCGAGACUUUACGAGGGGCCUCCGUGUGUCAAAAAUAGGCCGCGGGCACAGCCGCGCCCAAAAAUAACUGCCCGAAGGCCAGGACGCCAAGUUCGUCCAGCGGAAAAAGGCCACAAAAACGGGUGGGCUAUAGCCUUGGGGGGUGGGGCUGGCCAACUUCGUCCGCCGGACUCGGAAUGCCGCGAGACUUUGCGAGGCACCUCCGUGUGCCAAAAAUAGGCCGCGGGCACAGCUGCGCCCAAGAAGAACCCCCCGAUGGCCGGGGCGCCAAGUUCGUCCAGCGGAAAAAGGCCACAAAAACGGGUGGGCUAUAGCCUUGGGGGGUAGGGCUGGCCAACUUCGUCCGCCGGACUCGGAAUGGCGCGNNNNNNNNNNNNNNNNNNNNNNNNNNNNNNNNNNNNNNNNNNNNNNNNNNNNNNNNNNNNNNNNNNNNNNNNNNNNNNNNNNNNNNNNNNNNNNNNNNNNGCGGAAAAAGGCCACAAAUACGGGUGGGCUAUAGCCUUGGGGGGGGGGGCUGGCCAACUUCGUCCGUUGGACUCGGAAUUGCGCGAGACUUUACGAGGCACCUCCGUGUACCAAAAAUAACCGCCCGAAGGCCGGGGCGCCAAGUUCGUCCAGCGGAAAAAGGCCACAAAAACGGGUGGGCUAUAGCCUUGGGGGGAGGGGCUGGCCAACUUCGUCCGCCGGACUGGGAAUGGCGCGAGAGUUUGCGAUGCGCCUCCGUGUACCAAAAAUAGGCCGCGGGCACAGCCGUGCCCAAAAAUAACCGCCAGAAGGCCGGGGCGCCAAGUUCGUCCAGCGGAAAAAGGCCACAAAUUGGGGUGCGUUAUAGCCUUGGGGGGGGGGGGGCUGGCCAACUUCGUCUGCCAGACUUGGAAUUGCACGAUACUUUGCGAGGCACAUCCGUGUGCCAAAAAUAGGCCGCGGGCACAGCCGCGCCCAAAAAUAACCGCCCGAAGGCCGGGGCGCCACGUUUGUCCUGCGGAAAAAGGCCACAAAUACGGGUGGGCUAUAGCCUUGGGGGGUGGGGAUGGCCAACUUCGUCUGCCGGACUCGCAAUGGUGCGAGACUUUACGAGGCACCUCCGUGUGCCAAAAAUAGGUCGCGGGCACAGCCGCACCCAAAAAUAACCGCCCGAAGGCCGGGGCGCCAAGUUCGUCCAGCGGAAAAAGGCCACAAAAACGGGUGGGCUAUAGCCUUGGGGGGAGGGGCUGUCCAACUUCGUCCGCCGGACUGGGAAUGGCGCGAGGAUUUGCGAUGCGCCUCCGUGUGCCAAAAAUAGGCCGCGGGCACAGCCGCGCCCAAAAAUAACCGCCCGAAGGUCGG